RNAcentral lists this ribosomal RNA (512 nucleotides) under uncultured bacterium. Its description in RNAcentral is "bacterial SSU rRNA". It matches the Rfam family "Bacterial small subunit ribosomal RNA", at positions 28 to 526 of the family's 1533-position model. The record is from RNAcentral.
GACGAACGCUGGCGGCGUGCUUAACACAUGCAAGUGGAGCGACGAAGCGGACUUCGGUCUGUGGCAGAGCCGCGAACGGGUGAGUAACACGUGGGUAACCUGCCCCGAUGACUGGGACAACCCGGGGAAACUCGGGCUAAUACCGGAUGUGCUGGAUCUCCUUGAGGGGGUUUAGUAAAGAUAGCUUUGGCCUUCGCAUCGGGAUGGGCCCGCGGCCCAUUAGCUUGUUGGUGGGGUAAUGGCUUACCAAGGCUUCGAUGGGUAGCUGGUCUGAGAGGACGAUCAGCCACACUGGGACUGAGACACGGCCCAGACUCCUACGGGAGGCAGCAGUGGGGAAUCUUGCGCAAUGCGCGAAAGCGUGACGCAGCAACGCCGCGUGGGGGAAGAAGGCCUUCGGGUUGUAAACCCCUUUCAGUUGGGACGAAGCUUCCAGGGUUAAUAGCUUUGUGGAGUGACGGUACCUUCAGAAGAAGCCCCGGCUAACUACGUGCCAGCCGCCGCAGUAAAAC